CUGUGCUGUGGAGGCUGCAGCAGAGGUCUGUGAGCGCUCCGGUCGUUCUGAGGCUGCAGACUGCGCCAGACGGAUGGUCUUGUAGGAGUAGACCGUGGCCAGGCAUCUAUGAGUGACAUCACCAUCAUCAUGCGUUUUUGGCAUCUGACCCCCUCUCUCUGUAGCCACAACCUCUGUGCGUGUUGCCUUGCCAACAUGGUUCUCUGAGGGCUGCUGGUUGUGGCUCCGCCCCUGUAACAGCAGCUGAUUCCGUAGAGUAGCGACGUCCAUCUGCAACUGGUCUCUCUCCUCUGUGAGCUGUUCUCUCUGUUCUCUCAGAACAUCCAUUGACUGAACUAGCUGCUCCUUCUCUUCUUUUAGAUCAGAGACAAACUGGUCCACCUGGUACCUCUUUCGUGUUUGAAGACUGAGAGAUGACAGCUUGUCUCUCUCCUGCUCUAGACGGCUGAGUGUCUGUGUUAGCUGGUCCCUCUGUCCCUUUAAACCACACAUUGACUGCAUCAACUGGUCUCUCUCAUCUUUUUGGCUGAAGAGAGACUGCAAGAGCUUGUCUCUCUCCUCCUGGAGUCUAGACAUUGACUGAACUAGCUGGUCUCUCUCCUCCUGGAGUCCAGACAUUGACUGAACUAGCUGGUCUCUCUCCUCCUGGAGUCCAGACAUUGACUGAACUAGCUGGUCUCUCUCCUCCUGGAGUCCAGUCACUGACUGAACUAGCUGGUCUCUCUCCUCCUGGAGUCCAGACAUUGACUGAACUAGCUGGUCUCUCUCCUCCUGGAGUCCAGUCACUGACUGAACUAGCUGGUCUCUCUCCUCCUGGAGUCCAGACAUUGACUGAACUAGCUGGUCUCUCUCCUCCUGGAGUCCAGACAUUGACUGAACUAGCUGGUCUCUCUCCUCCUGGAGUCCAGACAUUGACUGAACUAGCUGGUCCUUCUCCUCCUGGAGUCCAGACAUUGACUGAACUGGCUGGUCUCUCUCCUCCUGGAGUCCAGACAUUGACUGAACUGGCUGGUCUCUCUCCUCCUGGAGUCCAGACAUUGACUGAACUAGCUGGUCUCUCUCCUCCUGGAGUCCAGACAUUGACUGAACUAGCUGGUCUCUCUCCUCCUGGAGUCCAGUCACUGACUGAACUAGCUGGUCUCUCUCCUCCUGGAGUCCAGACAUUGACUGAACUAGCUGGUCUCUCUCCUCCUGGAGUCCAGACAUUGACUGAACUAGCUGGUCUCUCUCCUCCUGGAGUCCAGACAUUGACUGAACUAGCUGGUCUCUCUCCUCCUGGAGUCCAGACAUUGACUGAACUGGCUGGUCUCUCUCCUCCUGGAGUCCAGACAUUGACUGAACUGGCUGGUGUCUCUCCUCCUGGAGUCCAGACAUUGACUGAACUAGCUGGUCUCUCUCCUCCUGGAGUCCAGACAUUGACUGAACUGGCUGGUGUCUCUCCUCCUGGAGUCCAGACAUUGACUGAACUAGCUGAUCUCUCCCCUCUUUUAAACCACACAUUGACCGCAUCACCUUGUCUCUCUCAUCUUUCAGACCACAGAGGGACCUUGUCAGCUGUUCUUUCUCUUCUUUUAAACUGCAGAGUGACUUAUGGAUCUGGUCGCGUUCUUCUUUCAGAACCCACAUGGAGCGCGUUAGCUGGUGUUUCUCCUCUGUUUGACUGCUAAGUGAGAGGGACACCUGUUCUCUUUCCUCUUUGAGAUCACUGAGAUAGCCAAUCAGCUCGUCCCUGUUCUCUCUAAGCCUGCACGUUGACUCCGUGGUCAAACGGUCCUCCUGCUGUAGGCCUAGCUGACUGCUCUCGACCCGUCUUUCCUGCAGCUCUAUGAUAGUGUUGAGGUCAUCCUCAGUCUUCCUGGUCAGCUCAGUGAUGAGACCUCCCUGCUCCUGGUUCUCCUGCUCCAGCCUGGUGCUCUCCCUCUCUAGCAGGGACACCUGUAGCCUGAGCUGGACUAGCUCCCUCUCACUCUCCCCCUCCUGGCGCUCUAUGUGGGCUAGGAGCUCCUGGAUACGCCUGCCCAGGGCCCGGUUCUCCUGGUUCAAGGCUAGGGCUAGGUCAUCCUGGGCUAAGGCAUACAGGGACAGGUCAUCCUGGGCUAAGGCUAGGAUAGUAUCAUUCUGAUAUGGAGUUGCAGUGAGCUCUCUGCUCCCCUGGGGUAUUAGGUUUGGAGUUGGCACCUUGUUUUCCUGGACAUUUGUCAUGCUCUCGCCUACAAGCGAGGACCCCUGCUCCACCUCGCAGGCCCCUGUUUCUCCCUGCGCCCUGAGUUUACAUUUCAGUUGGGCGUUCUCCUCGGUCACCCUGUGCAGCUGGUCCUGUGUGUGUCGUAGCGUGCUCUCCAGCUGGUCCCUGUGGUCCCGGAGUGAGUCCAUGUCGCCCCCCAUGCUCCUGUAAGCCUCUCUCAGGGCCUCAGUCUCCUCGCUUGUCCCCUCCUCCAGGUUUAGAGAGGGGACGCCCCCAGGACCAGGACACCAGUCCCUCAGGGUCAACUCCCCCAGACCCUCAAUGCUCUUAGUACCCAGGGAUAUGAGGCAGGGGUUCUGGCUACGGUGGCCUGAGAGGUUCAGGAGGUCCGGCUGGGGCAGAGGCAGAGUGGAGUUUUCCUGUGACCUCUCUGUUGCUCCAUGGUGAUGAGCAGAGGGAGGUGUGUCUAGUGAAGACUGGCCUGGGAUCAUCUUCACCUGCAUAGAUGAUGAACACUAAACAUUAGAAGUUCAUCAAAAAGCAGAUCCCAGUCUCAAACACAAGAGCCGGCCACACCCGUUAGUUCCUCUGUAGUUAAUCAGAUCAACAUUCCACUUUGGA
RNAcentral lists this long non-coding RNA (2806 nucleotides) under Salmo salar (Atlantic salmon). RNAcentral describes it as "lncRNA (ENSSSAG00000003001.2, ENSSSAG00075063603.1)". Lineage: Eukaryota; Metazoa; Chordata; Actinopteri; Salmoniformes; Salmonidae. The record is from RNAcentral.